Molecule: long non-coding RNA, 1263 nt
Filed under: Nicotiana tabacum (common tobacco)
Lineage: Eukaryota; Viridiplantae; Streptophyta; Magnoliopsida; Solanales; Solanaceae
Description: long non-coding RNA (NTAB_LNC007800)
Source: RNAcentral
AUAAAUCAAAGUACGGAAAUACUAAUACAAUUUUUAAAACGUAUUUGUAGCAAAUAUAGCUUAACAUGAAAAACUUGAGACUCUGUCUAACUAUUACUCUAGUCUAUGAAGCCUCUAAUAAAGUACUAAAAACACCGACUGACUGUAAAUACUGAAAGACUGUAAAGUAGUGAUAAUGCCCCGGAAGAACUGGAGUUGGUACGAGAAUCCUAGCGCUCUGAAUCAUCAACCUGUAAAUCAUUACCAGCAUCGUGAGAUGCAGGCCCUGGGCAAAAGGGACGUCAGUACAUUUGAAUUGCACUGGUAUGUAAAGCAACUGAAAGAAAGAAUUAAAAAUGCUGAAACUGAAACUAAGAUGAUAAUUGAGAAUUGAUAAUUGAUAACUGAAAUGAUAACUAUUGAAACUGAAACUUAAAUGAUAACUAAUAACUGAACCGAUAACUGGUAACUAAACUGAUAACUGGCAACUAAAAUGAUAACUGAUAACUGAAAUGAUAAAGGAAGUAAGGAUAUGAAUACUCCCUCUUCUGAAUGAUGAACAACCUGGUUAUCUGAAUAAGCUAUGGCCUCGGGCCCAAUAUAUAUGUGCACAAGCUACGGCCUCAGGCCCAAGUAUAUGUAAAGCAUAUAAACUACGGCCUUAGGCCCAAAUACAGGUGUUCAACAUUCAGGGAUUUAAAAUCAAGAACUGAGAAUCAUACUGCAGUACAUGAUAGUAAAGUACUGAAUCACAUUAAGUUACAUGAUACUGGAAUACUGAAUCACAUUGAGUUACAUAAUACUGGAAUACUGGAUCACACUGGGUUGCAUAAUAUUGGAAUACUGAAUAGGACUAGAUUGAGACAUGUAUUCUUGAACUGAUUAUGAACACUGAAAUUUCAACUGUGUAUGGCAUACUGCGUAAUCUAUACUAAGACUCGGGGGCAUCAAACCCAAGUCUAUAUUGAAUACGAACUGAGCUCACAACAUUCAAAAUGAAAGUCAUGAACGAGUUAUGAAGCUAGAGAAUAGGAGUUCUACAAUUAUUCAAGGAACUAGGCUAAACUCUAUUUUUUUAGGCAAUUAGUAACGUCGUAAAAGAAACGUAGUAUAGGGAGAAUCAUUAACAUUUCCAAACAUAGAGAGUUAGCCUCACAUACCUUAACUUCCUGCUAUUGAUCAUAAUACAACAUUCGCCAGCCUUUCAACUUUAAUCUAUAUCAAUACAAGUCAAAGAGAUUCCAAAUUAGCAACAAUAGUCAUGUUUUGAUCACUUAGGCAUUU